This 253-nucleotide ribosomal RNA is filed under the name uncultured bacterium. Its description in RNAcentral is "partial 16S ribosomal RNA". It matches the Rfam family "Bacterial small subunit ribosomal RNA", at positions 524 to 776 of the family's 1533-position model. The record is from RNAcentral.
GACGAACCGUCCAAACGUUAUUCGGAAUCACUGGGCUUACAGAGUUCGUAGGCGGUCUGGAAAGUUGGGUGUGAAAUCCCUCGGCUCAACCGAGGAACUGCGCUUGAAACUACCAGACUCGAGGGAGAUAGAGGAAAGCGGAACUGAUGGUGGAGCGGUGAAAUGCGUUGAUAUCAUCAGGAACACCGGUGGCGAAGGCGGCUUUCUGGGUCUUACCUGACGCUGAGGAACGAAAGCUAGGGGAGCGAACGGG